RNAcentral lists this ribosomal RNA (498 nucleotides) under uncultured bacterium. Its description in RNAcentral is "bacterial SSU rRNA". It matches the Rfam family "Bacterial small subunit ribosomal RNA", at positions 32 to 507 of the family's 1533-position model. The record is from RNAcentral.
AAUCAACGCUGGCGGCGUGCCUCAGACAUACAAGUCGAACGCGAAAGGUUCCUUCGGGAACCGAGUAGAGUGGCGCACGGGUGAGUAACACGUAGGUAAUUUGCCUUUGGGUGGGGAAUAACAGCCGGAAACGGCUGCUAAUACCGCAUAAUGCAGCGGCUCGACAUCGAGACAGUUGUUAAAGCGGGGGAUCGCAAGACCUCGCGCCUAAAGAGAAGCCUGCGGCAGAUAGCUAGUUGGUAGGGUAAUGGCCUACCAAGGCGACGAUCUGUAACCGGCCUGAGAGGGCGGUCGGUCACACUGACACUGACAUACGGGUCAGACUCCUACGGGAGGCAGCAGUCGGGAAUUUUGGGCAAUGGGCGAAGCCUGACCCAGCAACGCCGCGUGAAGGAUGAAAUCCCUCGGGAUGUAAACUUCGCAAGAAUGGGAAGAAUAAGUGUGGGCUAAUACCCUUCAUGAUGACGGUACCAUUUGUAAGCUCCGGCUAACUUCGUG